This is a long non-coding RNA of Panonychus citri (citrus red mite), 2825 nucleotides long. RefSeq lists it as uncharacterized. The transcript is spliced from 4 exons. The record is from RefSeq and is a predicted model, not a curated record. Lineage: Eukaryota; Metazoa; Arthropoda; Arachnida; Trombidiformes; Tetranychidae.
UAUUCUUGUAAAAGAUCCUACCAAAAAGCCCCCAAAUUAUGUGCAAUGGACUAAACUAUGAGGUCGAAUGUUCAUCAAUUGGUAGCAAAGGAAGAGGAAAAAAAAAAGUUACCUCUCUUUACUUUCUUCCUAUUGGGAUCGCUAGAGACCAGCGUGAAUUGAACAAGAUUAAUCGUAUUUUGGGCUUUGCUGAAUUAGAACUUUUGUUGGACUUAAGAUGAGAAAGAGAAUCGAAACCAAAAUAGACAGAGACACGAGAAAGAAUCAUCCAAAUGAAAUGAAAUAUAAAAAAAACAACAGAAGAAGUGAAUUGUAUAUGAUUACAUACAUUUGGAAAGCUGAAUUUAAAGCAAUAUUACUUGGCCUGAGAAAGAUCAUUAAGAUGAUUUUCCAUUAGGUCGACAUUGUUUGAUGAAUUGUGUGAUUGAUGAACCGAUGAUCAUGCUUAUUGUUGAAAAAAAGUAUAAACAAAAUGAAUUGGAAUUGGAAACACCGAGAGAGAGAAAGAGAAACUUAAUGAACAACAACAACAACAACAGGAAAAGGAGCAAAAAAAAGUUGAAGACAAGAGACAUGGUGGAAAUGGAAACGAGCAGAAAAUUCUGAGGUUCACUUGACCUUUACCGUUAUUUUUUCUCUUCACAAAUUGAUCCAGUUUCGUUCAUCAGCUCACCUUGAGAUAAUAUUUACUAUCAACUACGGAACUCAAGUGAAGAAAAAAAAAUACUCAUGUAAUAGGAUAAAGAGGAAAACGAGAGCAAGUGAAAGUAAAGUCCAGAAAAAGGACCAACAACAAGUGAGAGAGUCGAAAAAAAGUAACAUUUAUCAUCAGAAUAACUAAUUGUUUUUCAGUUUAUUCUCUUUUUUUUCGAUAUUUUUUUCGUUCUCUAUUCUUUUUUUUUUCUUCUUCUUCUUCAUUCAGGUCAAUCAUUACUUCCCUAAUGUACCAAGUAACUUGUGUUCAAGUGUGUUCAUCAUUAAUCUGACUUAGGUGACAACAAUUGACAAAACGAAAAACUGAAAGGCUAAUUCCUUAAUCAUAACAAUUAUCCGAUUGAACAAUUGACUGAAUAAUAUAUACAAGAGAAAUUAAAUCCAUUGGAAAUCAAGUUGUUAACACAAUAUUACAUACUAUUAUAUGUAAUGAUAGAAAUGAUUCUGGCUGAUGAAUUAAUAUAUCUACACACCAGUGGAUUGAAUAAACGAGAAUCAAGCAUGAGGAGAGGGAAAAAAGGACAUGAUUGGAAAAAUAAUCGGUGUAAUUAAUUAUAUUCCCAGUGACAUGGACCAUAAAUAUCUAUUCAUCUGUGAAUGUAUUUAUAUUUCAUAUGCAUUGAGGUAAAUUCAUAUCUUGAUAAUGUUUAUGGAGAGCGAGAGAGAGAGAGAGAGAGAGUGAGAUGGAAGACAAAGACAUUGGCUCACUCAUAUAUCAAUAUUCAUAAAGAUAAUGAUGAUUCUGAUAGUAAUCAUGAUAACAUGGAGAAACGAGAAGAGAAAAUGUUGGAAAGUUUGAGUGAUAAAAAUGAAAAACGUCGACUGGAAAUCGAGGCUGAGGAAGAUGAGAAAAUGAUGAGAAAAAGCUGAGAAUAUGGAAAAGGAGAAGGAGAAAAAAUUGGACUACAUCCUUUGGAACUCUCAAAGAAUUAAUUCUGUUGUUUACUGUUACUGAUGCAAAGGAAGAUGAAAUAUAUGAGAUACGAAGGAGCAACAUGGUAGAAAAAGGUUAUUGGAAACAAUUCAAGUAUGAAAAUGAUAACCUGCCAAUAUACAGGGAGAGAGGAGGGUAUUAUAAAAACACAAGACAUACACCAUGUACACUCUCACACAACCUACAGUGAGAACUACAGACACACACACUAACUCACUUGCAGAAAGUUUUUACAACAAAAGAUAAACAGUAUCACCUUCAUAUUGGUCAAGAAGUAUUCUGAUUAUUAUCAAUGUUGAACAGAAAGAGAGACGAUCAUCAUCAUCAUCAGAGAGAAAAUAUAUUCGAUAUAUUAAGAAGAAGGAGAGAGAAUAUGGACUGAGAGAGAUAGAGAGAGAGAGAGGAUUUUCUCAAAGUUGAGAUGUAAUUUUAAAUUAAAUCUCGAGUUUAAUUUAUUUAACUUUUGUCAAAUUUUUGAGGGAAAAAUUGAAACUCUCUCUUUGAUAUUAUGGUUGAGCUUUUGACUGCUGUUACUGAUCCUGCUCUCGGUGGUGUUAUUAUGCUUAAUGUUUACCCUGAGUGUGCAUAACCAUUACCAUCCUUACCAAAUGACCUCUCAACUCGUCUCAUUGUUACUCUGCUUAAAAAGUUACUCUUUUUUAACCAUCAUCAUUGUUCAUCUUUAUUAUCAUUUUAUUUUAUUUGAAUAGUUCACUUAGAUUCAUUUGAGAAGGAAAUAAUUUUAGAGAACUGGGAAUGGGAUUUGUUUUGUUUUCUAUCUCUCAUCUUUCCCACUCUCCCAGUUCUCUCUCUCUCUCUCUCUUUUUACAUUCUACUCAGAUUUUGAAGCAAUUUCAACUCAAAAAUGACCUGGAAUUGCCAUUAGGUCAUUGACUGAAGUUCUGACUCCCUUCAACUCACUUUUUCAAUCUUAUUUCUGUAACUUUCCCUUUCUCACUCAUGCAACUGAUAAAAAGGGAUGGAGAUGAUAAUGAUGAGGAAGAAGAUUUAAUGAUGAUAACUGAUAACCGAUGUGUUGGAUAAUAUUGGUUAGUUUCCUUUGGACGAUUAACGAAGGAGGGAAAAGAUGAUGACGAUACGAAACAAAGGACAAUCAAGGAACCGGAAACAUGGGAAAAGUUAAAAAGAAAGAGAGAGAAAAAGUUUCAGUCUAUUA